Long non-coding RNA from Delphinapterus leucas (beluga whale), 5065 nucleotides. RefSeq lists it as uncharacterized. NCBI's taxonomy places the organism in Eukaryota, Metazoa, Chordata, Mammalia, Artiodactyla, Monodontidae. The record is from RefSeq and is a predicted model, not a curated record.
GAGGCCCGCGUACCGCAAAAAAAAAAAAAAAAAGGUAGGUAAACUUUAUUUUAGAAAUACAGUUUUGAAACCCUUCUAAGUUUCUAAAGUACUCAGUAGAUGUUUGGCCACUGUUUUCUUUUAUAAAAGCCCAAAUCUUAAGUUCCUGAGUAAAAACUGCAAGGGGAGGGAGAUAUUUGGAAAAAAUAUUUGUUAGCCUAAAUCUCUGUGUUAAUAACAAUACUAUAAAAAGUGUCAUUUAAUUAAAGUUCUUAAUUAAAGUGCUUUUUAAUAUACAUCUGUAUAAAAAGUAAAUGGACAGAUUAUGAUUAAAUACAAAUAAAUAAAACAAAACACUACUGGGAGUAGGGUAUGAAGCCUUCUCCAGGCAAAGAAAUUAGAAAAUUUCCAAACCAAAGAGGGUACAUUUCUUCUUUUUAUUUCUAUGUCCCAUACUCAACCAAGCAGUGAGGCUAAACAUGUGCGCUGAUAUGUUCUAUAAACCAUACUACCCUGUAGAAGCGCAGCUAAAGUGCUAUACUGGAAUCUACACUUUUUCCGAGCAACAGGUAUAUAUUUACUGGAAUAUAAAGAACAUGGUUUGAUGGAACAAAAAGAGCAUGGACUUUGUGUCAAGCAAAGUUAUAUGACCUCUCCAUGCUUCACUGUCCUCAUCUGUACAGUGGGGACUGUUAACAUCCACUGGUUGAUGCAAGGAUUCUAUGAAUGACAAAGGAUGGAAAGUAACAGGCCCUGUUCUAGGAUCACCCUGUAAGGAACAGGAGAGUCCAUUGUCAUAUAUCUUACAAACUGAAAUAAUUUCCUAAAAAUAGAAUACUAAUUUUGCGCUAAUUUUUGACUUUUAUAUCCAUGGUGCCAUUCUGCCAAUUGGAUUGGAACAAGGAGAUGUAUAAUUAAUCAGAACCUGAAUUUGUUGUUGGUUUUUUUUUUUUUUUUUUUUUUUGAGUGGGAGCGAUUCUCAAAAAGAUAAGAAUGUACUGUUAACCAGGUAUGGCAGUAAGUAUAAAGAAUGUUAGGACCAGCAUCACAUUCUUAAUUUAACCCUUCUUUAAAUUAUUAAUUACCAUUUCAGGUUUUCUGUUGAUUUUCUAUGAGGCACUCACAUAUGGGACAGGAUACAGAAAAUCCAAUCAGAAACCUGAAUCCAUUUAGUUAGAAACCAGAACCUCAUAUCUCAUGAAACACAUGCUUAAGCAGCAAAGGGCAAAAGGUUGCUAAAAAAAACUGAUAGUAUCAGGACCAUAUGUGAAAUAAAUAGGAUUUUAAGAGACCUGGGAAUGAAAGCCAAAUGAAACUAAAAUUCACAGCAAAAGAUACCUUAUACACAAGGAAUGUGAGCCCUGAAUUUUCACACACUAUUGGUGGGAGUAUAAAGUGCUAACAUGUAUCAAAAUCCUAAAAGUUAGGCAAACUUUUUGACCAAAUAACUAUACCUCCAUCAUUUAGUUUGUGUAAAUAAUUUAGGGUAUGGGCAAAAAUUUAGAUACAGAGACGUUAGUUGCAGCAUUCUUUAAAACAACGGAGACAACCUGAGUAUUCAAAACUAGAGGACUGGGGAUAUAAGUCAUGGUACAUAGCAGGGGUCCCCAACCCCCGGGGCCUUGGACCACUACUGGUCCGCAGCCUGUCAGGAACCGGGCCGCAGAACAGGAGGUGAGCGGCGGGCAAGGGAUCGAAGCGUCAUCUGCGGCUCUCCAUCGCUGGAAUUACGGCCUGAACCAUUCCCCACCCACCCCCAUCUGUGGAAAAAUUUUCUUCCACGAAAGCGGUCCUUGGUGCCAAAAAGGUUGGGGACCGCUGGUCUACUAUGGGGCAGAAAAUUGUACAGCCUACAAAUAUGAUAAAUAAAGAUGUUUACUAUGUAUUUUUGGGUGGGGGAAAAAAGGCUAUAAAACAAUAUGCAUUGUAUGAACACAGUUUUGUAAUUUAGAAAAGUAUAAAAUAAUUUAAAAGUACGUACAAAAAGAUUACAAAGAUAGAAGCCAGAAUCUAAUAUAGUGGUUGUUUUAGGGUAGUAAUAUCAGUGUUUUCAUAUUUUUCUUUCAGCUUAACUGAAUUUUCUUAUUUUUUCCCAAUGAACAUGAAUUAGUAGUUGUAUUCCAGAAAAAGGAAAGAAACCCAGCAAAUUAAGACUGAAUGUGCCAAGAAACGGCAUGGUUUCAUAUUUCUGAACAUCUAUUAUAUAUCAGUCUUUCCAAACCUCCAGAAAGCAAGAUCAUGGUAAUCAACUUUACUUCGCAAAAUGUAAAACUGGUAUUUAUGGUGACAGGAAGCCAAACAGGACUAAAAAACACAGAAAGUUAACUCUCACAAAAUAAAACAAUAUGGAGACGUAUUGUAUAGCAUAAAAAAAAACAGGCUUUGAAGCACAUAAUAGGUGAUGAAUAUAAACUGGCUCUAAGUGAAGGAAAUGUCAUGAAAAAGAACAGAAGGAGAGGCUUCAGCUAAGCAGUGAGGAUGUUUGCAAGGACUGACCUUGAGGGUAGACCACUGCGGUCAGCGUGGGUAGUUUAUCCUGUGGGCACACAUUACAGAAAGGGUGAGUAAUCACCGCUCUCCACUGGCCACUUAGAUGCAUUGGUCUGCGAGACACAGGAGUCUGUCUGGAACGUGACAGGGAAAGUUGAUGGUGGGAACGCACGGAGUCAAUGGUUUACAGAGGCGGCAACCCUCACACCGUGGGAGGAAAAAAGGUUUUGAUUAAUUGGCUGAUUCCAAGGGCUUAUUUUCUUUACCCUGGUACUACCAUUAAAAUGAUGGCUGAAUUCAUUUUGAUCUCUUGUCACUGUCUCCUUCUGCUGAUUUUUGCUUCAGAGGCUUCCUCUACUGCUUUUUUUGGGGGGAAGGGUGGGUGUCAAGACAAAUAUCAAUAGCACAGUUAGAAUUAAAGCUUAUUUUAUAUAAAUAGUCUUGGGGGGAAAAAGCUUUCUUUUAAGAUAAGACAUCACAGGAAGCUAAUGACAUCUGCAGAGGGGCUGAAGGAAGCAGAAAGUGGAAAGCCAUUUUGUAUUUCUGCCUCUUUGCCAUUGGAUUGAGUUUUCUCUCAUGGCAUCUUGAAACCGCUUUCUUGCUUUAUGUGUCCUUUGAAUUUCUUAGAACCUCUCUAUUGUCUGUGCUUAGGAAGUGUAAUCAUGUUGAUAGUUCAUAAAGUGAUUUUUUCCCAGUGUGUUAAUUUCCCAGGGCCUGGGAGCCUAGAGAAUCGUUAUGGGAUGCUCCCAACUUCUAAUGAUAAUUAUUUGCUUUCCAGGAUAUUCAGAAUUUGAGAGGAUCACUUUGGAGCACACUGAUGGCCAGAGGAGCGAUGGGUGACAUUCUAGGGAUGGAGGAGUGGUCAGGUGGAAAGGCCACAGAUGCCAAGACCGCCUGGAUAACUCUAAGGAGGGAGGAAGACUUCCUUCCUUGCAUCCCCUCCCACUUACUCAAUAGCUGAACUUUUACCAUGAAAAUGGCAUCUCUGUGAUUUGAUCCCAUUUUAUUAAGCUGCAGAUACAAAGACAACUGUGACAUGAUACUUGUCACACUGUCUAGUGGAAGAAUAGUUUUGAAAACUACUAAAAGGAGAAAUGGUGAUUUCUGGAGAGGGACAAUUCUUUAAGGUAUUAUUAGUCAUUCUACUCUUUAAUGCAGAUGGAUGGCUAUAGCUACACUUUGUGAGAUCCUAAUUUGGAAAGGGAAUAGGAGCAGGAAGCCUUUAGUUGUCUAAAGGAAGGGAGGGUAGGAAAGGGCAGAGGAAGAGAGGGAGAGAGAGACUCUGAGGAUGAGAAUAUGAAUGGAUAAAUGAACAAGAGGUGGAAGCAGGAACUGUCAGCAGGCUUCAAAAUUUGGAAUAGCAAUGGACCUUGUACUUGACCAAUCUCUCCCAUUAAUACCUCCAUCAGAAAAUUCCAUCCACUAUCCCUCUCCCUCCAGCUGAUAAACUUUCCCCAGAAUUCAAAUAUAUAGAAGUUUGCAAUAGCUGUAAGUAAAAUCCACAAUUCUAAGUCCUUCUGAUCUGUUGGUACUGCCAAAGGAAGGUAUAGCGCUCUACCCCUAGCUGAAGUCAUCCAUUCAUGGGCCUAAGACAUUGGGAAACCCUGUCUCCCUGGGCACGUAGGACUCUUCCCUAGGUCUGCAGCCUGGUUUUCUGGAGUCUUCUUAGCCUUUCCUUCAUCUGAAGGAGAUGACUCCGGCUGAGUCUACCAAAGUCUGCCCAACCAGAUAAGAAGUGAAAUCCUUUAUCCAACGACCAGAUGUGUGGUCUAUGAGAAGACAAAACAUCUGGCCUGCUGGAAUCACUGAGUUGCUGGCAAGCUCUGCUCAGCUUUCUUACAGGAAGGAGUGGCAGGCACCCUGAAGAUCAAGCUAGGAUCUUUGAAGUUCAAAGAAAAAACUGUGUUGAAGUUCAGAUUGAAAAAUAUGAAUCACAGGGAGGAAGUAAUUCUUUUUCACCUCAACUUGCCAGAAUCCUGAGCUGGUCUCCAGGCCUGGGGCACAUAGGUUGGCACCUCUUCUUUAGAGAGGGGUGAAUGAAGCCAAGUUGACAUGCAUUUACAUUUCCAAACAUAAUCAUUAUUACAAUGUUGACAAUUAUACCUGGGCUUCACGGAGGUCACUGAAUCUUUCAAAGGCUCUAUCUCAGCAGUUCCACAGGAAUGGCAAUUCUUAUUUAAACAUUUUUCAGAAAGGAAAUAAAACAAACAAAUGAAACGAGCACCUGGAGAGGCCAAGUGACAUUGUUUGAGGAUGUACAACAACCAUGCACAGAGGUUAUGACCACAUGGAUUCCCUCAGGCAUGUGAUGACAGACUUACCGGUAAUGUCCGCAUGCAUUUGCACAAAAAGGGGGUUCUUGCCGAGGCCCCCACAGAGGAAAAGGGUGCUGAUCGAGUGCCCUGCUGACUCCAUGGCCUCUAUAAUGAGGCGCGUCCCGAACUUAAAGGGAAGAACAGAAGAAAGCAUCAGUACGGUAGCAAAGCAAUGGCUUGAACUGUGGCCAGGUAGAGAAUGGCAAGAUCAUCGAGGUCCUGAGAUAGUUUCAAUCCGGUGACCUGUAGGGAUGAAGAAAAGAAAAGAAGGAGAUGGCGCC